UGUCAUUCAGUGCACACAGGCUCACCUGGUGGAUUCCUAUCUUUGCCUAAGGGCAGAGGAAGGCUCCUCUAAAGUGCCAGUGUUUUCUUAACUUACCUGUAAAAUACAUUGGUAACAUCAGACCCAAACUUACUUUUACAAUCUCACUCACCUAAGACCAAUAUUUACUCUGGAAGUUCCCUGACUGAACAUUACUUGUAGUUAUUACAUUCUCCACAUUCAAAUGGCAGCCUCUACUAUUGUAAGAGUUGUACAAGAGGAUCAUGAAAGUCUGGAAAAUAUAACAGAAUUCCCACAGUAGCAGAACUCAGGUGUCAUUUAUGGGAAAUGGACACUACAACAACUGUUGCUUUUUUAUGUUGUUUUUCCCUCAGCUGGAGCCGUUUCAUCUGUUACUAAUGAAAUCUUCACCCUCUCAACAAGAGCCUCCGCUUUUGUCAUUGGUGGAAUCGUCAUCUGGCUGGGCCUCACUUUCACUGGAAUGAUUUUCCCCUUUGCUGUAAUGCUUCUUGGUCCUUUUUGCUUCCUCAUCUUUAUUGCUGUCCUGAUCAUUUCAGCAAUACUUAUCUACCUGUUCCUCCCAGAAACAAAAGGGAAGUCAAUCUCUGAAAUCACAGAAGAAUUCAAAACACGCCAGUUUAAGAAGAAACGUCACCAGGCUGUGGAGGUGAAUGCUACUGAAGAAAAAACAUUCUGCACCAAGCUCUGAUAAGCCACCACCAGUAACUUCCACUGACAAAAAGGCCUGUCUCAAAAUCAAACUGAAAACUGAACAUUAACAUGGACUUUUCUCAAUGAAAUGCAACCCAAAAAGCAAUCCAGAGAUAGCUUGUCACUAAUCCAAGUAGUCCUGUUUUAUAUUCAUCUUUGCUUUUCAUGGUGAGAGUCAAUGGCUCAUUCCUAGAGUGAUUCUGUAGCAGGAAAACAACAGCAACUACAGACAUUUCUAAGAACUGGCACAUGGGAAACAUUUUCAGGCAUAACACACCAAUUGUAUUUCAAAUCUUUCUGCAUUGCUGUCAUUUUCAAGCAGCAAGAUUUGUCUUCAUGUUUGUUACUUCAUAAGAAAAUUCUGCUCAAGGUUAAGAGCAGGAUGAAGAAAGGAUUAAACACAGACAUAGUUCUUGCAAACAAUGGUCAUGUCAUCUCAUGUCAUUAUGAUAUCACACUGUUAAGGACCUAUUAUUGUGAGCACUGCACAUGAACAAACACCAAGUAGGACAAAGAGAGCUUGUAUUUCCUUGAGCUGACAUCAAGUAACUAUAUGUCCUGAUUGUCUCUGUAAUGACUGUCAGGGAUCAGCCCCAAUCCCUGGGCAGUCGGUGCAGAAAACCCUCACUUGCAUUCUCUGCAGCAAACUGGCUGCAUUCUCUGUGAAUAUCAGUUGUAGCAAAAUCAGGAGGAAGUUUUUGUAAUGUAUUCUGGUACCUCAUGGAUGGCACAAGGGUUGAUAAACAUAGAGGCAAUGCUGAGAGCUGGAGGAUCAGAGCCCUGCAGAGAGGGAGUAAGAGACUUUGAGAGAGUACUGACAAAGUAGAGACUUUGAAAACUCAGCCCAUUUUAUGCAUGAUUAACUGAUUAAAAACAAAACAAAACAAAAGCAGAAGCUGUGAUGGCUGAUACCUGCUGGCUGUGUACUGGCCUAGGACACAUUGUACUUUGCUGUUGCACAUCAGCUCACAAUCCUACACUUCCCUGCUGUGCUCCAC
Molecule: long non-coding RNA, 1709 nt
Filed under: Manacus vitellinus (golden-collared manakin)
Lineage: Eukaryota; Metazoa; Chordata; Aves; Passeriformes; Pipridae
Description: lncRNA (ENSMVIG00005002825.1)
Source: RNAcentral